CGGCUAACUACGUGCCAGCAGCCGCGGUAAUACGUAGGGUGCGAGCGUUGUCCGGAAUUACUGGGCGUAAAGAGUUCGUAGGCGGUUUGUCGCGUCGUUUGUGAAAACCCGGGGCUCAACUUCGGGCUUGCAGGCGAUACGGGCAGACUUGAGUGUUUCAGGGGAGACUGGAAUUCCUGGUGUAGCGGUGAAAUGCGCAGAUAUCAGGAGGAACACCGGUGGCGAAGGCGGGUCUCUGGGAAACAACUGACGCUGAGGAACGAAAGCGUGGGUAGCAAACAGGAUUAGAUACCCUGGUAGUCCACGCCGUAAACGGUGGGCGCUAGGUGUGGGUUCCUUCCACGGAAUCUGUGCCGUAGCUAACGCAUUAAGCGCCCCGCCUGGGGAGUACGGCCGCAAGGCUAAAACUCAAAGGAAUUGACGGGGGCCCGCACAAGCGGCGGAGCAUGUGGAUUAAUUCGAUGCAACGCGAAGAACCUUACCUGGGUUUGACAUACACCGGAAAGCCGUAGAGAUACGGCCCCCCUUGUGGUCGGUGUA
This 540-nucleotide ribosomal RNA is filed under the name Rhodococcus sp. (in: high G+C Gram-positive bacteria). RNAcentral's name for it is "bacterial SSU rRNA". It matches the Rfam family "Bacterial small subunit ribosomal RNA", at positions 494 to 1034 of the family's 1533-position model. The record is from RNAcentral. Lineage: Bacteria; Bacillati; Actinomycetota; Actinomycetes; Mycobacteriales; Nocardiaceae.